This 46-nucleotide non-coding RNA is filed under the name Trichobilharzia regenti. Lineage: Eukaryota; Metazoa; Platyhelminthes; Trematoda; Strigeidida; Schistosomatidae. The record is from RNAcentral.
UUACUGCUGAAGAGUCCCAAACUAGGAUGAAACAGCUGUCCAGUAC